This 70-nucleotide transfer RNA is filed under the name Brevibora dorsiocellata (eyespot rasbora). RNAcentral describes it as "tRNA-Asp". It matches the Rfam family "tRNA". Rfam says of the family: Transfer RNA (tRNA) molecules are approximately 80 nucleotides in length. The record is from RNAcentral. Lineage: Eukaryota; Metazoa; Chordata; Actinopteri; Cypriniformes; Danionidae.
GAGGUAUUAGUAAAACAAAUUACACCACCUUGUCAAGGUAGAGUUAUGGGUUAAACCCCCAUAUACCUCU